This 2733-nucleotide long non-coding RNA is filed under the name Salmo salar (Atlantic salmon). RNAcentral describes it as "lncRNA (ENSSSAG00000102186.1)". The record is from RNAcentral. Lineage: Eukaryota; Metazoa; Chordata; Actinopteri; Salmoniformes; Salmonidae.
AUUUCUCAUGUCAUGUUGGGGAUGGGGAGCGCCAGUGGUCUGAAACAAUGGGAGUGCAGAGCAAGGAUUGUGGGGGGAAAUCUCGUCUGGAGCCAAUUUUUUUUUGAGGGAGUAACACCCGGCUGCAGACUGUGGACAGGAAACAGAGAGCGAGAGAAGCUAAAAGCAUCCACCAUGCUUCCCAGCCGAAACAGUUUGGAAGAGUUUGUGCAUAUAUUCUGACAACAUUUUUGGAGUUUUUUUGCUGUUUGAGCACACAAAUAUUUUUCUGGAGGCAAGCUGAAGUUCGGAGCCGAAGUCUACACCCCUUCGUCAGUGAUUGGUCAACAGUAGGGAUUCUUCAAUAAUGUCUUUUGUUGUCAUUCAACGAGAGACAACUCUUUUUCAUGCACAUUUUUUCAUUGAGAAAUACUGCACCAAACAUCUUAGUUAGAUGUAAAAUUGUGCUACUAAGAUCUCUGCAAAAACUUCAAAUUAAUGACAGAUUUCUUGAUUCAUUCAGACUAUUUUGAGGAAGUGAUUACUGGGUACGGCUUCUCAAAAUGGACAAACAGUACUUCUGCCGUUUUUUUCUCCUUAUUUCAAGCAAGGUAUUAUGGAGUAUGCGAGGGAGUAUGCGAGCACACUAGUUCGGUUUGGCUUGUCGAGUUCAGCUAGGCGCCAGCCGAACUGUAGCAUUCUUAAGCAACAGGUUUGUUAAAUUAUUUUUUAAAUGUAACCUUUAUUUAACUAGGCAAGUCAGUUAAGAACAAAUUGUUAUUUACAAUGAUGGCCUACUCCAGCCAAAUCCAGCCAACGCUGGGCCAAUUGUGCACUACCCUAUGGGACUCCCAAUCACAGCCAGAUGUGAUACAGCCGGGAUUCAAACCAGGUACUAUAGUGACACCUCUUCCACUGAGAUGCAGUGCCUUAGACCGCUGCGCCACUCAGGAGCCCAAUAAGGAGGAAGGACAUUCCAGGAAUGUUUUGCCAGUUGCCACCUUCUCCAUUCACAGCCAUUUGUGUUGGCCCUAUCUAUUACUUUCACUGCAGUGAUACCUUUUGUCCACAGCCUUAGUUUGUGUUCAUAUUUCAGCAUCAUUUCAAUAAAUCUAAUGGAAGGCAAUAUGUUUUUGAACACAGGUGUACUGUAGACUGAUGAUGCUUUGCUAGUGUAGGAAUGUAGAAAUAGGCCCUUCCUGUUGCAUAGACUUAUCUAGCUCCUUAUGUGCUGAGUGACUUGUUGUGGAGUGCUGUGCUGGGGUACAGGCACGGAUGUCUGAUAUACAGAGUGACAUACUGUAGGGCUGCUGGGGAUGAGUGGGUGUUUGAGGUCAUACGGUAAUAUACAGUGAGGGAAAAACAUAUUUGAUCCCCUGCUGAUUUUGUACGUUUGCCCACUGACAAAGAAAUGAUCAGUGUAUAAUUUUAAUGGUAGGUUUAUUUGAACAGUGAGAGACAGAAUAACAACAAAAAACUUCAGAAAAACGCAAGUGAAAAAUGUUAUAAAAUGAUUUGCAUUUUAAUGAGGGAAAUAAGUAUUUGACCCCUCUGCAAAACAUGACUUAGUACUUGGUGGCAAAACCCUUGUUGGCAAUCACAGAGGUCAGACGUUUCUUGUAGUUGGCCACCAGGUUUGCACACAUCUCAGGAGGGAUUUUGUCCCACUCCUCUUUGCAGAUCUUAACCAAGUCAUUAAGGUUUCGAAGCUGACAUUUGGCAACUCGAACCUUCAGCUCCCUCCACAGAUUUUCUAUGGGAUUAAGGUCUGGAGACUGGCUAGGCCACUCCAGGACCUUAAUGUGCUUCUUCCUGAGCCACUCCUUUGUUGUCUUGGCUGUGUGUUUUGGGUCAUUGUCAUGCUGGAAUACCCAUCCACGUCCCAUUUUCAAUGCCCUGGCUGAGGGAAGGAGGUUCUCACCCAAGAUUUGAUGGUACAUGGCCCCGUCCAUCGUCCCUUUGAUGCAGUGAAGUUGUCCUGUCCCCUUAGCAGAAAAACACUCGCAAAGCAUCAUGUUUCCACCUCCAUGUUUGACGGUGGGGAUGGUGUUCUUGGGGUCCAAACACGGCGAGUUGAGUUGAUGCCAAAGAGCUCCAUUUUGGUCUCAUCUGACCACAACACUUUCACCCAGUUGUCCUCUGAAUCAUUCAGAUGUUCAUUGGCAAACUUCAGAUGGGCAUGUAUAUGUGCUUUCUUGAGCAGGGGGACCUUUCGGGCGCUGCAGGAUUUCAGUCCUUCACGGCGUAGUGUGUUACCAAUUGUUUUCUUGGUGACUAUGGUCCCAGCUGCCUUGAGAUCAUUGACAAGAUCCUCCCGUGUAGUUCUGGGCUGAUCCCUCACCAUUCUCAUGAUCAUUGCAACUCCACGAGGUGAGAUCUUGCAUGGAGCCCCAGGCAGAGGGAGAUUGACAGUUAUUUUGUAUUUCUUCCAUUUGCGAAUAAUCGCACCAACUGUUGUCACCUUCUCACCCAAGCUGCUUGGUGAUGGUCUUGUAGCCCAUUCCAGCCUUGUGUAGGUCUACAAUCUUGUCCCUGACAUCCUUGGAGAGCUCUUUGGUCUUGGCCAUGGUGGAGAGUUUGGAAUCUGAUUGAUUGAUUGCUUCUGUGGACAGGUGUCUUUUAUACAGGUAACAAGCUGAGAUUAGGAGCACUCCCUUUAAGAGUGUGCUCCUAAUCUCAGCUCGUUACCUGUAUAAAAGACACCUGGGAGCCAGAAAUCUUUCUGAUUGAGAGGGGGUCAAAUACUUAUUUUCC